Molecule: non-coding RNA, 93 nt
Organism: Canis lupus familiaris (dog)
Lineage: Eukaryota; Metazoa; Chordata; Mammalia; Carnivora; Canidae
Source: Rfam
GGGGGGAGCACCGUAUCCUGGGCUGUGUUGCCGGCCCCCUGGGUUCAGGGGCCUGCGCUGUUGGAAACCGGCUCCGGGGCUGUGCAGCUCCCU